RNAcentral lists this long non-coding RNA (394 nucleotides) under Fukomys damarensis (Damara mole-rat). RNAcentral's name for it is "lncRNA (ENSFDAG00000028042.1)". Lineage: Eukaryota; Metazoa; Chordata; Mammalia; Rodentia; Bathyergidae. The record is from RNAcentral.
GUUUUCAGGAAAGGAGAAACAAUGCUGUGGUAGCAGCUGUUGUGGCCCAUUCAGUCCAUGGAGAACCUAUUCCUAGACACCAGAACCUCCUCCAUAGAUAACUAUUUCCCCUACAAGCCCCCAAUGUGACUUUAUAUCAUGAAGUCUUGGUUUUUAUUCCAGGUUUAACAUUUUAAAGAUAUUUGAAAUUCUGAGCAAAAUUGAGAAGGUUAAGUGACUUGCUUCUUCCUGGCAGAAGAGGCAGCACAUGUCAAAGUCCUGAGUUUCCUCGGCUCCUUCCAGGAUGCAAAGAUUCCUGUAAAAGAGGAUCAGACACUGCCCAGCUCUUCUGGUCAAAUGGAGGUGAAGAUGUAUCUAAAUAGAAGACUAGCUCCCAAGGCAUAGGAACGGCCCC